AUUUUUUAACACUGAAUCUUUAAAUACUGUAUUUUAAAACACUGAAUUUCAGUGAAAAUGUCAGCAUAAUUUGAUUUGUUCACAAAAUUCAAAUGCAAAAAAUUCAGUUACAUAUAUUCAGUGUAAAAAAAAAAAAGUUUUCGUAAUAAAGACAAACAUCAACCUCGGUAGUGUUUCACUUCAUGACACCUGCUGUAUUACUUCAACUUUCUUAAGGGAUGGUGUUCCUUUUUUCUGACUUAAAAAUGUUGUUACCAUGUUGGAUACUACUGUAGUGUUAAAUAAUACUAAAGCGUCAGAAUCAUAAGAUUCAUGUAUUUGGGCAUGAGCUUGCACACAGUUUUGGAGGCCUCUGAAUGCUGUGUUUUGGGAUCUUUUUUUAACAUUUGUGAUGUCACAGAUUGACGGGGGUAUUUAUGUGGUCCUCCUCGUACAUUCUGUGUAAGCCAACCUCCUUUGUCUCUGCUGAGCGAUCGCAGUCGAGACUGCUGCCUGAAGUUUCCCAUGUCUAAUGCUUCCCCGCAUGCUCUGUUGUCUAUAAAAUAAUUACUUCCAUCUUUGUUUGUCCACAACAUUUUACACAGGACUGUUUUGUCAAGGUGCUAAACUUCGGCGGUUUCAGGAAACACAAGAUUAGCAAACCACAACGACAUCCCCUGAUCUGAACCCACAUCCGGGCAAGGAAAAAAUCCAUAAGCCCAGGCUAAGAAAAAAAAGAAACCUUGAGAAGGGUCCACAGAUGUAGGGACCAGCUCCCACCUGGCACCCUUGUUACCUGCCAGCAGUGAAGCAGCUUCCGUUGGCCGAGCCGAUUGUAGAGAAGACAACGAAAAGUGGAACAAUCCAAGACAUGGGACAGCAACACGGCGGUCGGCGGAAAGUACCGGGAAAAGGUGACGGCUCCCGGAGUGUUUAUAUGGCGUCAUAUAAAAAUAUAUGUAGUGUUCAUCGUGUGAGGCAAUGCAAAUUAAACAAUAAAAAAAACAAAUAACGGUUUGAAUUGGUCCAGGUUAUCAGGGACUUUAUUACUGACGGACAAGUGUCGCCGUGUGACUGCAACCAGGCACGUAAGACAACCCUCGUCUCCAUGGCAACGUUUCUCUCGCUUUCAUUCAUUUGCUUCUUUUCCACUAACGCAGGGGUAAUUUGGACCCAAA
Entelurus aequoreus (snake pipefish) is the source of this 1157-nucleotide long non-coding RNA. RefSeq lists it as uncharacterized. NCBI's taxonomy places the organism in Eukaryota, Metazoa, Chordata, Actinopteri, Syngnathiformes, Syngnathidae. The transcript has 4 exons. The record is from RefSeq and is a predicted model, not a curated record.